CAAACUAGAGCUUGGUAUAAGCUUUUUAUUUACAUUAAAAAUUUAUUUGUGCAACUCAAAUUAGUUUGA
This 69-nucleotide transfer RNA is filed under the name Gibbium aequinoctiale. Its description in RNAcentral is "tRNA-Val". The record is from RNAcentral. Lineage: Eukaryota; Metazoa; Arthropoda; Insecta; Coleoptera; Ptinidae.